AUUGAACGCUGGCGGAAUGCUUUACACAUGCAAGUCGAACGGCAGCAUAGGUGCUUGCACCUGAUGGCGAGUGGCGAACGGGUGAGUAAUACAUCGGAACGUGCCCAGUCGUGGGGGAUAACGUAGCGAAAGUUACGCUAAUACCGCAUACGAUCUAGGGAUGAAAGCGGGGGACCGUAAGGCCUCGCGCGAUUGGAGCGGCCGAUGUCAGAUUAGGUAGUUGGUGAGGUAAAGGCUCACCAAGCCGACGAUCUGUAGCUGGUCUGAGAGGGCGACCAGCCACACUGGGGCUGAGACACGGCCCAGACUCCUACGGGAGGCAGCAGUGGGGAAUUUUGGACAAUGGACGCAAGUCUGAUCCAGCCAUUCCGCGUGCAGGACGAAGGCCUUCGGGUUGUAAACUGCUUUUGUACGGAACGAAAAAGCUCUUACUAAUACUAGGAGUCCAUGACGGUACCGUAAGAAUAAGCACCGGCUAACUACGUGCCAGCAGCCGCCGUAA
RNAcentral lists this ribosomal RNA (502 nucleotides) under uncultured bacterium. RNAcentral's name for it is "partial 16S ribosomal RNA". It matches the Rfam family "Bacterial small subunit ribosomal RNA", at positions 30 to 523 of the family's 1533-position model. The record is from RNAcentral.